This is a long non-coding RNA of Chenopodium quinoa (quinoa), 1720 nucleotides long. RefSeq lists it as uncharacterized. NCBI's taxonomy places the organism in Eukaryota, Viridiplantae, Streptophyta, Magnoliopsida, Caryophyllales, Amaranthaceae. The record is from RefSeq and is a predicted model, not a curated record. The transcript is spliced from 3 exons.
UCAAAACCUAAUUCUCAGAAUUUGAAACGAGUAGCCAGUAGUUGCAAGUUUGAGCGGUGAAAUGGAAACCCAAACUCCAUAUAUCGUCCAGAAGAAUCUUCCCCAAAUUUUCAAAACCCUAAACCCUGAAUCAACCUCAAUUCCGCCCAAUUUCGCACCAAUUGAUUUAGAUAAUCCAUCGUUUCAUCCCUCUUCUUCACUCAACAACAGAAGGGCAAAUCAUCAUCAUCAAAAAUUUGUAAGUAAUGAUGUUUUAAUUUUUGAAAUUGAUGAUCGUAAGAAUGGUAAUUCUAAGGACAAAGCUAGUACCUCUGUUUCUGGGAAUAACGUAAUUGAGUUGAAUGAUGACGAUUAUGGCGAUAAUGGGGUUGUCGUUGAUGAUAAUGAUGAUGAUGAUUGUGUUGUUGUGAAAAGAGAGAGAAAUUUGACGCCUAAAGGUAAUCAUAAGAAAGACCCAAUUUGUCUUGAGGAAUUGAAGGAAAUUAAACCUAAAUUGGGUAAAAAAAAUUCGAUUAUUGUUGAUGAUUAUAAUUCAGUACAAUGUGUUGAUGAUUAUGAUGAUGAUAAUGAUGAAAUUAGGAUUAUCAAUGUGAGGCCUUAUAGUUGGCCGUUGGUGUCGUCGGCUUCCUUGAGGAAGAAGAGAAAACCGUUUUAGUGGUCCGUCGAUUACUGAAGUAGGUGAAUCGUCAGGGUCGAAAUUUGAGGUAGAUGAUGAAAUGGUGGCUGAAAUUGAACCCAUUGAAAUUAUGUUUCUUUGUGAAAUUUGUGCUGACUCUAAGCCCCAAAAGGAGGCUUUUAAGAUAAAGGGUUGCUCUCAUUCGUAUUGCUCUGAUUGUAUGAAAACUUAUGUUGCUUCGAAGCUUCAAGACGGUGUUUCUGUAAUUAAUUGCCGGUUCCUAGUUGUUCUGGAGUAUUAGAGCCAGAGUAUUGUAGGGAUAUACUCCCAUUUGAGGUUUUUGCUCGGUGGGGCAAUCUUCUGUGUGAGUCUGUGAUACUGGCCACGCAAAAGUUCUAUUGCCCGUUUAAGGAUUGCUCGGCUUUGUUGGUUGAUGACGGGUUUGAGAAGGUGACAAUGUCUGAGUGCCCAAGUUGCUUUAGAUUGUUUUGCGCGCAGUGUAAGGUUGGGUGGCAUGCAGACAUUGGGUGUGCUGAGUAUCAAUCUCUGAGUAAGGAUGAGAGGGAGAAAGAGGAUAUCAUGUUGAGGAAACUUGCUAAGACUAAGAACUGGCAAAGGUGUCCCAAGUGCAAGUACUAUGUGGAGAAGUCAGAGGGUUGCCUCUAUAUGAAAUGCAGGUGUGGAGUUGCCUUUUGUUACAGGUGUGGUAACAUUAACACAGACCAUAGAUACCAUAACUGUAAAAACUGUGGGCUGUAGUCUUCGGGAUUCAAUUUUGUUGAUUGUAGAGGAACAGAUGUGGACUUGCUACCAGUUCUUUCAAUGGAAUUUGGCUUCUCUCCAAAGGAAUUUGUAAAUUAAUUUUUUAGAUUUAGGGUAUUUAGAAACAUGAUGCGUAACGAUCCAAUGUUUCUUUGAUAGUUGAUUAUCUGUAACUACUAUUUCAGUGAGUUUCGACCAAAUGUUCCAUGAUCUCAGAUCUCCCCAUUCAGGACCAAAUUUACGAGUUGAUUCUGCAUAUUGCUACUUAGUCUGUCCUUUCACGGGCAUGUCUGACAAGUUUGAUUAUGCCAAUUAUUAUGAAACAGAGAGAGUAAUUGAAUA